ACGGAAGGCAGCAGUGGGGAAUAUUGCACAAUGGGCGAAAGCCUGAUGCAGCGACGCCGCGUGAGCGAAGAAGUAUUUCGGUAUGUAAAGCUCUAUCAGCAGGGAAGAUAAUGACGGUACCUGACUAAGAAGCACCGGCUAAAUACGUGCCAGCAGCCGCGGUAAUACGUAUGGUGCAAGCGUUAUCCGGAUUUACUGGGUGUAAAGGGAGCGUAGGCGGCCAAGCAAGUCUGAUGUGAAAACCCGGAGCUCAACUUCGGGAUUGCAUUGGAAACUGUUUGGCUAGAGUGUCGGAGGGGUAAGUGGAAUUCCUAGUGUAGCGGUGAAAUGCGUAGAUAUUAGGAGGAACACCAGUGGCGAAGGCGGCUUACUGGACGAUUACUGACGCUGAGGCUCGAAAGCGUGGGGAGCAAACAGGAUUAGAUACCCUGGUA
This 434-nucleotide ribosomal RNA is filed under the name uncultured Pseudobutyrivibrio sp. Its description in RNAcentral is "partial 16S ribosomal RNA". It matches the Rfam family "Bacterial small subunit ribosomal RNA", at positions 341 to 792 of the family's 1533-position model. Lineage: Bacteria; Bacillati; Bacillota; Clostridia; Lachnospirales; Lachnospiraceae. The record is from RNAcentral.